This 980-nucleotide ribosomal RNA is filed under the name uncultured bacterium. RNAcentral describes it as "bacterial SSU rRNA". It matches the Rfam family "Bacterial small subunit ribosomal RNA", at positions 8 to 1033 of the family's 1533-position model. The record is from RNAcentral.
AGAGUUUGAUCCUGGCUCAGGAUGAACGCUGGCGGCGUGCUUAACACAUGCAAGUCGAACGAACCUUCGGGUUAGUGGCGGACGGGUGAGUAACGCGUGAGAAUCUGCCCUCAGGAGGGGGAUAACAGUUGGAAACGACUGCUAAUACCCCAUAUGCCGCGAGGUGAAAUGAAUUUCGCCUGAGGAUGAGCUCGCGUCUGAUUAGCUAGUUGGUGUAGGUAAAGGCUCACCAAGGCAUCGAUCAGUAGCUGGUCUGAGAGGAUGAUCAGCCACACUGGGACUGAGACACGGCCCAGACUCCUACGGGAGGCAGCAGUGGGGAAUUUUCCGCAAUGGGCGAAAGCCUGACGGAGCAACGCCGCGUGAGGGAUGAAGGCCUCUGGGCUGUAAACCUCUUUUAUCAAGGAAGAAGAUCUGACGGUACUUGAUGAAUAAGCCACGGCUAAUUCCGUGCCAGCAGCCGCGGUAAUACGGGAGUGGCAAGCGUUAUCCGGAAUUAUUGGGCGUAAAGCGUCCGCAGGCGGCCCAGAAAGUCUGCUGUUAAAACGUGGAGCUUAACUCCAUCAUGGCAGUGGAAACUGUUGGGCUUGAGUGUGGUAGGGGCAGAGGGAAUUCCCGGUGUAGCGGUGAAAUGCGUAGAUAUCGGGAAGAACACCAGUGGCGAAGGCGCUCUGCUGGGCCAUAACUGACGCUCAUGGACGAAAGCCAGGGGAGCGAAAGGGAUUAGAUACCCCUGUAGUCCUGGCCGUAAACGAUGAACACUAGGUGUCGGGGGAAUCGACCCCUUCGGUGUCGUAGCUAACGCGUUAAGUGUUCCGCCUGGGGAGUACGCACGCAAGUGUGAAACUCAAAGGAAUUGACGGGGGCCCGCACAAGCGGUGGAGUAUGUGGUUUAAUUCGAUGCAACGCGAAGAACCUUACCAGGGUUUGACAUCCUGCGAACCUCUUAGAAAUUUGAGGGUGCCUUCGGGAAUGCAGUG